This 325-nucleotide ribosomal RNA is filed under the name uncultured eukaryote. Its description in RNAcentral is "partial 18S ribosomal RNA". It matches the Rfam family "Eukaryotic small subunit ribosomal RNA", at positions 1470 to 1796 of the family's 1831-position model. The record is from RNAcentral.
CCCUUAGAUGUUCUGGGCCGCACGCGCGCUACACUGAUGCAUUCAACGAGCCUAUCCUUGACCGACAGGUCCGGGUAAUCUUUGAAUCUGCAUCGUGACGGGGAUAGAUUAUUGCAAUUAUUAAUUUUCAACGAGGAAUGCCUAGUAGGCGCAAGUCAUCAGCUUGCGUCGAUUACGUCCCUGCCCUUUGUACACACCGCCCGUCGCUCCUACCGAUUGGGUGUGCUGGUGAAAUGUUCGGAUCGGCCGUUUGUCGCGGUUUCCGCGGCUCGUGGCUGAGAAGUUCAUUAAACCCUCCCACCUAGAGGAAGGAGAAGUCGUAACA